GUAGGUGGCAAGCGUUGUCCGGGAAUUAUUGGGGCGUAAAGCGCGCGCAGGCGGUUCUUUAAGUCUGAUGUGAAAGCCCACGGGCUCAACCGUGGAGGGUCAUUGGAAACUGGAGAACUUGAGUACAGAAGAGGAAAGCGGAAUUCCGCGUGUAGCGGUGAAAUGCGUAGAGAUGUGGAGGAACACCAGUGGCGAAGGCGGCUUUCUGGUCUGUAACUGACGCUGAGGCGCGAAAGCGUGGGGAGCAAACAGGAUUAGAUACCCUGGUAGUCCACGCCGUAAACGAUGAGUGCUAAGUGUUAGGGGGUUUCCGCCCCUUAGUGCUGCAGCUAACGCAUUAAGCACUCCGCCUGGGGAGUACGGCCGCAAAGGCUG
RNAcentral lists this ribosomal RNA (375 nucleotides) under uncultured organism. RNAcentral describes it as "partial 16S ribosomal RNA". It matches the Rfam family "Bacterial small subunit ribosomal RNA", at positions 527 to 896 of the family's 1533-position model. The record is from RNAcentral.